Molecule: ribosomal RNA, 497 nt
Filed under: uncultured bacterium
Lineage: Bacteria
Description: partial 16S ribosomal RNA
Rfam family: Bacterial small subunit ribosomal RNA
Source: RNAcentral
GAUGAACGCUGGCGGCGUGCCUAAUACAUGCAAGUCGAGCGAACGGACGAGAAGCUUGCUUUUCUGAUGUUAGCUGCGGACGGGUGAGUAACACGUGGAUAACCUACCUAUAAGACUGGGAUAACUUCGGGAAACCGUAGCUAAUACCGGAUAAUAUUUUGAACCGCAUGGUUCAAAAGUGAAAGACGGUCUUGCUGUCACUUAUAGAUGGAUCCGCUCUGCAUUAGCUAGUUGGUAAGUUAACGGCUAACCAAGGCAACGAUCCAUAGCGGACCUGAGAGGGUGGUCGCCCACACUGGAACUGAGACACGGUCAAGACUCCUACGGGAGGCAGCAGUAGGGAAUCUUCCGCAAUGGGCGAAAGCCUGACGGAGCAACGCCGCGUGAGUGAUGAAGGUCUUCGGAUCGUAAACCUCUGUUAUUAGGGAAGAACAUAUGUGUAAUUAACUGUGCACACCUUGACGGUACCUAAUCAGAAAGCCACGGCUAACUACGUG